GCGGGUGUAGUUCAAUGGUAGAACGCCAGCCUUCCAAGCUGGUCACGUGAGUUCGAUUCUCAUCACCCGCUCGA
This 74-nucleotide transfer RNA is filed under the name Fidelibacterota bacterium. RNAcentral's name for it is "tRNA-Gly". It matches the Rfam family "tRNA". Rfam says of the family: Transfer RNA (tRNA) molecules are approximately 80 nucleotides in length. Their secondary structure includes four short double-helical elements and three loops (D, anti-codon, and T loops). Lineage: Bacteria; Pseudomonadati; Fidelibacterota. The record is from RNAcentral.